Molecule: ribosomal RNA, 492 nt
Filed under: uncultured bacterium
Lineage: Bacteria
Description: partial 16S ribosomal RNA
Rfam family: Bacterial small subunit ribosomal RNA
Source: RNAcentral
AGUGAACGCUGGCGGUAGGCCUAACACAUGCAAGUCGAACGGCAGCACAGUAAGAGCUUGCUCUUACGGGUGGCGAGUGGCGGACGGGUGAGGAAUACAUCGGAAUCUACUUUUUCGUGGGGGAUAACGUAGGGAAACUUACGCUAAUACCGCAUACGACCUACGGGUGAAAGCAGGGGAUCUUCGGACCUUGCGCGAUUGAAUGAGCCGAUGUCGGAUUAGCUAGUUGGCGGGGUAAAGGCCCACCAAGGCGACGAUCCGUAGCUGGUCUGAGAGGAUGAUCAGCCGCACUGGAACUGAGACACGGUCCAGACUCCUACGGGAGGCAGCAGUGGGGAAUAUUGGACAAUGGGCGCAAGCCUGAUCCAGCCAUACCGCGUGGGUGAAGAAGGCCUUCGGGUUGUAAAGCCCUUUUGUUGGGAAAGAAAGGCAGCAGGUUAAUACCCCGCUGUUCUGACGGUACCCAAAGAAUAAGCACCGGCUAACUUCGUG